UACGUAGGGUCCGAGCGUUGUCCGGAAUUACUGGGCGUAAAGAGCUCGUAGGUGGUUUGUCGCGUUGUUCGUGAAAACUCACAGCUUACUAGUGGCGGUGCGGGGCGAUACGGGCAGACUUGAGUACUGCAGGGGAGACUGGAAUUCCUGGUGUAGCGGUGGAAUGCGCAGAUAUCAGGAGGAACACCGGUGGCGAAGGCGGGUCUCUGGGCAGUAACUGACGCUGAGGAGCGAAAGCGUGGGGAGCGAACAGG
This 254-nucleotide ribosomal RNA is filed under the name uncultured bacterium. RNAcentral's name for it is "partial 16S ribosomal RNA". It matches the Rfam family "Bacterial small subunit ribosomal RNA", at positions 524 to 776 of the family's 1533-position model. The record is from RNAcentral.